GGGUAGUAAACUUCAAACCUAAAGAAUUUGGCGGUUCUUAAACUUACUAGAGGAACCUGUCCUGUAAUCGAUAGUCCACGAUUCUAUUUACCUAUCCUUGUGAUCAGCUUAUAUACCGCCGUUAAGUGAACUAAAUAAAUAGUUUCUCUAAAUUAGUUAGCUAAGAAGAUCAGGUCAAGGUGUAGCUUAUGGGUAGGAAGAGAUGGGUUACAAUAAUAUUUUAUACGGAUUUACUUUUUUAAUAUGGUGCUGAAGGUGGAUUUNUNNNUAAAUUGAUGAAUUUUUGAAGAGGGCUCUUAANAAUGUACNCAU
RNAcentral lists this ribosomal RNA (312 nucleotides) under Streptocephalus sudanicus. RNAcentral describes it as "partial 12S ribosomal RNA". Lineage: Eukaryota; Metazoa; Arthropoda; Branchiopoda; Anostraca; Streptocephalidae. The record is from RNAcentral.